This 458-nucleotide ribosomal RNA is filed under the name uncultured bacterium. RNAcentral's name for it is "bacterial SSU rRNA". It matches the Rfam family "Bacterial small subunit ribosomal RNA", at positions 340 to 787 of the family's 1533-position model. The record is from RNAcentral.
UACGGAAGGCAGCAGUGGGGAAUAUUGCACAAUGGGCGCAAGCCUGAUGCAGCCAUGCCGCGUGUAUGAAAAAGGCCUUCGGGUUGUAAAGUACUUUCAGUCGUGAGGAAGGUGUUAAGGUUAAUAACCUUAGCAAUUGACGUUAGCGACAGAAGAAGCACCGGCUAACUCCGUGCCAGCAGCCGCGGUAAUACGGAGGGUGCGAGCGUUAAUCGGAAUUACUGGGCGUAAAGGGCACGCAGGCGGUUAAUUAAGUUGGAUGUGAAAUCCCCGGGCUUAACCUGGGAAUGGCAUUCAAGACUGGUUAGCUAGAGUCUUGUAGAGGGGGUUAGAAGUUCCAUGUGUAGCGGUGAAAUGCGUAGAGAUGUGGAGGAAUACCGGUGGCGAAGGCGGCCCCUGGACAAAGACUGACGCUCGAUGUGCGAAAGCGUGGGGAGCAAACGAGGGAUUAGAUACCC